This 238-nucleotide ribosomal RNA is filed under the name uncultured bacterium. Its description in RNAcentral is "partial 16S ribosomal RNA". It matches the Rfam family "Bacterial small subunit ribosomal RNA", at positions 532 to 769 of the family's 1533-position model. The record is from RNAcentral.
UGGCAAGCGUUGUCCGGAUUUACUGGGUGUACAGGGCGUGCAGCCGGGAAUGCAAGUCAGAUGUGAAAUCUGGAGGCUCAACCUCCAAACUGCAUUUGAAACUGUGUUUCUUGAGUAUCGGAGAGGUCAUCGGAAUUCCUUGUGUAGCGGUGAAAUGCGUAGAUAUAAGGAAGAACACCAGUGGCGAAGGCGGAUGACUGGACGACAACUGACGGUGAGGCGCGAAAGCGUGGGGAGC